UCAUAAAUUCCAGCCAUUGACCCUGCAUC
This 29-nucleotide non-coding RNA is filed under the name Bombyx mori (domestic silkworm). Lineage: Eukaryota; Metazoa; Arthropoda; Insecta; Lepidoptera; Bombycidae. The record is from RNAcentral.